RNAcentral lists this ribosomal RNA (433 nucleotides) under uncultured bacterium. RNAcentral describes it as "partial 16S ribosomal RNA". It matches the Rfam family "Bacterial small subunit ribosomal RNA", at positions 29 to 507 of the family's 1533-position model. The record is from RNAcentral.
AACGAACGCUGGCGGCAUGCCUAACACAUGCAAGUCGAACGAGACCUUCGGGUCUAGUGGCGCACGGGUGCGUAACGCGUGGGAACCUGCCCUUAGGUUCGGAAUAACUCCCCGAAAGGGGUGCUAAUACCUGAUAAUGUCUUCGGACCAAAGAUUUAUCGCCUUUGGAUGGGCCCGCGUUGGAUUAGCUAGUUGGUAGGGUAAAAGCCUUCCAAGGCGACGAUCCAUAGCUGGUCUGAGAGGAUGAUCAGCCACACUGGGACUGAGACACGGCCCAGACUCCUACGGGAGGCAGCAGUGGGGAAUAUUGGACAAUGGGCGAAAGCCUGAUCCAGCAAUGCCGCGUGAGUGAUGAAGGCCUUAGGGUUGUAAAGCUCUUUUACCCGGGAUGAUAAUGACAGUACCGGGAGAAUAAGCUCCGGCUAACUCCGUG